CCUACGGGUGGCAGCAGUAGGGAAUCUUCCACAAUGGGCGAAAGUCUGAUGGAGCAACGCCGCGUGGGUGAAGAAGGCCCUCGGAUUGUAAAACUCCGUUGAUAGAGAAGUAAGUGCGUGUGCGUAACUGUUUAUGUAUCGACGGUAUCUAUCCAGAUAGCCUCGGCUAACUCCGUGCCAGCAGCCGCGGUAAUACGUAGGGGCCUAGCGUUGUCCGGAUUUAUUGGGCGUAAAGGGAACGCAGGCGGUAUUUUAAGUCAGAUGUGAAAGCCUUCGGCUUAACCGGAGUAGUGCAGUUGAAACUGGGAGACUUGAGUACAGAAGAGGAGGGCGGAAUU
RNAcentral lists this ribosomal RNA (338 nucleotides) under uncultured bacterium. RNAcentral describes it as "partial 16S ribosomal RNA". It matches the Rfam family "Bacterial small subunit ribosomal RNA", at positions 338 to 668 of the family's 1533-position model. The record is from RNAcentral.